This 332-nucleotide unclassified non-coding RNA is filed under the name Hevea brasiliensis (rubber tree). The record is from RNAcentral. Lineage: Eukaryota; Viridiplantae; Streptophyta; Magnoliopsida; Malpighiales; Euphorbiaceae.
AGCAUAUUGGUCUCAUGAACAGGUAUCUCUGAGGUUCCUCUUGGCCAAGAUAGAGCUUAAUUUCCUUUGUCAACAAAGCACCUGCUUCAUAAGUUAAUGGCAAAAGUGAUAUAACCAUCUUUUGAUGGAAAUCUGGAUCUUCGUAGAUAAUCUUUCUGUCAGUUGCACCUUCUUUGGGUGAUGAUAGGUGGGCGAAACCUUUUCUCCCAUCACCUUCAGUAAAGAUGUGCUGGGCCUUCUUGUGCUGUUGGUCUUUUGAAAGGUCUAAAAAACUGGUUAAUUGUUGUUACAAUAUUUAGAUGCUGAUGGAAUUUCAAUUGGGUAGGUGUUGG